AUCCUUUAAAACCGGCGUCAUUGCUUCUAUAUUAAAGAUGCUGGUUCGCCAGCUAUGGCGAUAAACGUGCUGUAGAAUAAGCAGAGCGGACCCGGGGGCGGUACCCGGCGCCUCCACCAUUUUAGCCCGAAACGACGGCCAUCACGGCCAGCAGCAGAAUUUGGGCUAAAAGAUUGGGGGCGAAAUAGGAUCGACGCAUGUGGUAAAGGCAGUAUUUUUGCUCGGUAUGGUACCCGCCGUUAUCGGGCCAUGUAGUAGUUGCAAAUGACAACACUGCUCCGGUAGCAAUCGCAGCCUAAAGGCAGCGGGAGUAACCGAUCUUAAGUCCAGAUCGAUUGAGCUCGGUCUGGCGGGGUUUGGGGCGCACCUGGCAACAGAAGCGUUCCGCU
Molecule: transfer-messenger RNA, 389 nt
Filed under: Alphaproteobacteria bacterium
Lineage: Bacteria; Pseudomonadati; Pseudomonadota; Alphaproteobacteria
Also listed under: 1 other name
Rfam family: Alphaproteobacteria transfer-messenger RNA
About the family: Bacterial tmRNA, also known as 10Sa RNA or SsrA, is named for its dual tRNA and mRNA-like properties. Its role is to liberate the mRNA from a stalled ribosome.
Source: RNAcentral